This 828-nucleotide ribosomal RNA is filed under the name Pseudomonas sp. A23. RNAcentral describes it as "bacterial SSU rRNA". It matches the Rfam family "Bacterial small subunit ribosomal RNA", at positions 26 to 849 of the family's 1533-position model. The record is from RNAcentral. Lineage: Bacteria; Pseudomonadati; Pseudomonadota; Gammaproteobacteria; Pseudomonadales; Pseudomonadaceae.
AGAUUGAACGCUGGCGGCAGGCCUAACACAUGCAAGUCGAGCGGUAGAGAGAAGCUUGCUUCUCUUGAGAGCGGCGGACGGGUGAGUAAUGCCUAGGAAUCUGCCUGGUAGUGGGGGAUAACGUUCGGAAACGGACGCUAAUACCGCAUACGUCCUACGGGAGAAAGCAGGGGACCUUCGGGCCUUGCGCUAUCAGAUGAGCCUAGGUCGGAUUAGCUAGUUGGUGAGGUAAUGGCUCACCAAGGCGACGAUCCGUAACUGGUCUGAGAGGAUGAUCAGUCACACUGGAACUGAGACACGGUCCAGACUCCUACGGGAGGCAGCAGUGGGGAAUAUUGGACAAUGGGCGAAAGCCUGAUCCAGCCAUGCCGCGUGUGUGAAGAAGGUCUUCGGAUUGUAAAGCACUUUAAGUUGGGAGGAAGGGCAGUUACCUAAUACGUAUCUGUUUUGACGUUACCGACAGAAUAAGCACCGGCUAACUCUGUGCCAGCAGCCGCGGUAAUACAGAGGGUGCAAGCGUUAAUCGGAAUUACUGGGCGUAAAGCGCGCGUAGGUGGUUUGUUAAGUUGGAUGUGAAAUCCCCGGGCUCAACCUGGGAACUGCAUUCAAAACUGACUGACUAGAGUAUGGUAGAGGGUGGUGGAAUUUCCUGUGUAGCGGUGAAAUGCGUAGAUAUAGGAAGGAACACCAGUGGCGAAGGCGACCACCUGGACUAAUACUGACACUGAGGUGCGAAAGCGUGGGGAGCAAACAGGAUUAGAUACCCUGGUAGUCCACGCCGUAAACGAUGUCAACUAGCCGUUGGAAGCCUUGAGCUUUUAGUGGCGC